This 975-nucleotide ribosomal RNA is filed under the name Triticum aestivum (bread wheat). RNAcentral describes it as "partial small subunit ribosomal RNA". Lineage: Eukaryota; Viridiplantae; Streptophyta; Magnoliopsida; Poales; Poaceae. The record is from RNAcentral.
AUGGAGGAGGUCGUAGUUUUGAUUGUUGGUGCAGGGCCUGCAGGCCUCGCAACUGCAGCAUGCGUUAGCCAACUCCAUCCCUAUGUCAUCGUUGAGCGUGAGAAUUGCAGCCCAUCACUAUGGCGCAACCACACAUAUGACCGUCUGAAGCUACAUCUAGCGAGGGAAUUUUGUGAGUUGCCACACAUGCCGUACCCAGCAGAUACCCCUUCCUACAUACCAAAGAACACUUUCAUCAAGUACGUGGAUGACUACAUUGAGUGUUUCACUAUCCAUCCGAGGUAUCUUACUGUUGUUGAGUCAUCCACAUAUGACUUCAAUGGAAAAUAUUGGUCCAUCAUGGCGCGCGACAUGGCAAAGUGCAAAAUAGUUAAUUACAGGGCGAAGUUUCUUGUUGUGGCAAAUGGUGAGAAUAGUGUUGAGAAUAUUCCAGUGGUCCCUGGCCUGAAAAACUUUCCGGGUGUGGCCAUCCACUCAUCAUGUUACAAGUCAGGCAUUGACUACUCCGGGAAGAACGUGUUGGUCAUCGGAUCUGGUAACUCUGGGAUGGAGAUCGCCUACGACCUUGCUUCUCAUGGUGCCAAUACUUCUAUAGUUAUACGAAGUCCGAUUCAUGUAAUGACAAAGGAAUUAAUCCGACUAGGGAUGACACUAGUCCAUUAUCUUUCACUAAAGAUGAUAGAUGGUUUCCUUUUGAUGAUGGCAAAUGCCGUAUUCGGGGACCUCUCUAGGCAUGGCAUCACAAGACCAGAAAAGGGUCCAUUUGUGCUGAAGUCGGAAACGCGAUCCGCAGUGAUUGAUGUUGGCACCAUAGGGUUAACCAAGAAAGACAAAAUUAAAGUUCAUGGAAGGAUUACUAAGAUCAAAGGAAAAACAAUUGAAUUUGAAGGUGGGAAGGAAGCCUCCUUUGAUGCCAUUGUGUUUGCAACCGGAUACAAAAGCACAACAAAUUCGUGGCUCAAGGUAGUAAGAUAA